GACGUAGGGGGCAAACGUUACUCGGAAUUACUGGGCGUAAAGGGUGUGUAGGCGGCCGAGCCUGUCAAAGAUGAAAUCCCGAGGCUCAACUUCGGAAUUGUCUUUGAAACUGCUCGGCUUGAGGAUAGUCGAGGAGAAUGGAAUUCCCGGUGGAGCGGUGAAAUGCGUAGAUAUCGGGAGGAACACCCGAGGCGUAAGCGAUUCUCUAUCCUAUUCCUGACGCUGAGACACGAAAGCUAGGGGAGCGAACGGG
RNAcentral lists this ribosomal RNA (253 nucleotides) under uncultured bacterium. RNAcentral describes it as "partial 16S ribosomal RNA". It matches the Rfam family "Bacterial small subunit ribosomal RNA", at positions 524 to 776 of the family's 1533-position model. The record is from RNAcentral.